AGGGUUCGAUUCUGGCUCAGGACGAACGCUGGCGGCGUGCUUAACACAUGCAAGUCGAGCGGGGAUGUUCGGAGUGCUUGCACACUGAACAUUUCAGCGGCGGACGGGUGAGUAACGCGUGAACAAUCUGUCCCAUACAGGGGGAUAACAGAUGGAAACAUCUGCUAAUACCGCAUAAGACCACGACAUCACAUGAUGAUGGGGUAAAAGGAUUUAUCCGGUAUGGGGUGAGUUCGCGUCCGAUUAGCUGGUUGGUGAGGUAACGGCCCACCAAGGCGACGAUCGGUAGCCGACCUGAGAGGGUGAUCGGCCACACUGGAACUGAGAGACGGUCCAG
Molecule: ribosomal RNA, 337 nt
Filed under: uncultured bacterium
Lineage: Bacteria
Description: bacterial SSU rRNA
Rfam family: Bacterial small subunit ribosomal RNA
Source: RNAcentral